UAGGGAAUCUUCGGCAAUGGACGAAAGUCUGACCGAGCAACGCCGCGUGAGUGAAGAAGGUUUUCGGAUCGUAAAACUCUGUUGGUAGAGAAGAACGUUGGUGAGAGUGGAAAGCUCAUCAAGUGACGGUAACUACCCAGAAAGGAACGGCUAAAUACGUGUCAG
RNAcentral lists this ribosomal RNA (165 nucleotides) under uncultured bacterium. Its description in RNAcentral is "partial 16S ribosomal RNA". It matches the Rfam family "Bacterial small subunit ribosomal RNA", at positions 355 to 511 of the family's 1533-position model. The record is from RNAcentral.